This 87-nucleotide transfer RNA is filed under the name Fibrobacterota bacterium. RNAcentral's name for it is "tRNA-Ser". It matches the Rfam family "tRNA". From Rfam's summary of the family: Transfer RNA (tRNA) molecules are approximately 80 nucleotides in length. Their secondary structure includes four short double-helical elements and three loops (D, anti-codon, and T loops). The record is from RNAcentral. Lineage: Bacteria; Pseudomonadati; Fibrobacterota.
GGAGAGGUGGCCGAGUGGCUUAAGGCGACGGUUUGCUAAAUCGUUGUACUGUUAUAGGUACCGGGGGUUCGAAUCCCCCCCUCUCCU